AAGCAUAGCAGGAGCCAGGCAUUUGAGCAAAGUUUUCAAGGGUCUUUGUCCUUCUUUCCACAUUUUAGCUCCACGUGCCUCUGGUUGUCUUUAUUUUCUCAAUUUCCUUUGCUACAGCCCACCUUCCUCUUUACUGAAAACAUGGUUACCUGAGGAUCUGAGCUUAUAGCCACAGAAACUGAAAUCCUUAAGACAGAGAAAACUUCAUGGAAAAGGUUUGAUUGACUCGGUCCAUUUUUUGAGCAAUUUACUGUGAACAAGAAGAUCCAGUACCAUGAUUGAUCAGGUAGUCUUGUGUCCACCCCUGUAGUCAGGGAGCAGGAGGGCAUCAUGUUUGACAGCACCUCAAAAUCACAGGGACAGAAAAUCAUUCCCCAGUGAGCACACAAAAAUGACAGACAUCCACUUCAUUUUCCUUAUAUUAUUUUUACUUGAUUCUUAGGACUAAUAGGCUUUUCCAUCCAGAUUGUGCACAACAGGGACC
RNAcentral lists this long non-coding RNA (484 nucleotides) under Homo sapiens (human). Its description in RNAcentral is "HSALNT0058051". Lineage: Eukaryota; Metazoa; Chordata; Mammalia; Primates; Hominidae. The record is from RNAcentral.